RNAcentral lists this long non-coding RNA (1082 nucleotides) under Diabrotica virgifera virgifera (western corn rootworm). Its description in RNAcentral is "uncharacterized LOC126881543". Lineage: Eukaryota; Metazoa; Arthropoda; Insecta; Coleoptera; Chrysomelidae. The record is from RNAcentral.
UGCACACGAGGAUCUUGCCCGAUUACCUACCAAAUGAACAUUUCAUCAGCGUACUACCCGUUUAUUAGUCAAUCCAAACCACGUGACCUCUGGUUGGCACACAAACUAACAAAGAGGUUAUGUUUGUAUCUAUUUUUCAAUGAUUUUUCAUUGUUUAUCGUCGUAUUUUGUCUAUUUUGGAUUCAUUUGGAUUUCGUUUCCUGUUUUUGUUAACUUUAUAAACUUUACCACAAUGCAAAGUGAUUAUUUAAGGAAAUCAUUAUUGGAAACUCCAGAUGUUGCGAGAAAGAUAUUUAUUGAAGCUGAAAAUAAUUGGGGACUUAGAUCCAUAGGCAAUUCAGUCAGAAUUGGAUUUUACAGUAAAGUGCAGUCCAUCAAGUUACUAUUAUAGAUAUUUAUACAUAUUUGGUGGAGUCUCACAGUUGCUACUCUAAGCAGCAGAUGAAAGAAAGCAUACAAAAGCCUUCAGGCACAUAAAUAUUUUACAGCUAAAUUUGUUUUGAACGUUGGAGUAAAAAUUGUUAAUGAUUUCCUGAUUUCCAUAUUAUUGUUGGAAAGGUGAAGCAUUUCCAAAAAGCUAAUGCUAAACGACUAAAUACUUGGGUGGGGUGAUAGCCAGUUCUGAUGACAUAGCAAAUGCACAUUGUAUGCAUAUGGCCGGUAAUAGUGAAGCCUGCAGCCAUAUUGCAGCAAUCCUAUUUUUAGCUGAGUAUGCCCAGGGCACGACAGAUGAAGAAGAACCAAAUGCAUGUACAUAUGUUACAGCUACAUGGUUUGGAGAUAGCAACAUAUGCAUUCUCUGAUGAAAAACUAAUGAGUUUUGAAACUGUUCUGUCAGAGUGCUUGUUGCGCUCACUAAACGAACUGAAAUAUAAGACGGUUUUGGCAUUGUGUUGCAGCGAUAUAGAAAAUGGCUAUUCAUUUUUAAUUAUAAUGUACUUCUUCAUCAUGAGUAAUUAUGUAUUGGUCUUUUAAAUGUGUAUUUAUUUUUGUAAUUAGUAUCAACUUGUAAUGAUAAUAUACAUUUAUCGUUUAAGGUAUGACUAUGUUUUGACUCUAAAAUAAAUGUUUUAAAAAUCGAA